GGUAUUUCCUGUGUUCUUGUUGGGAAAGGUCAGUAAGCAAAUGGAAAGAAAGCUCAACGUGAUAGAGUUCAUGGCAUGCUCUUAUCAAGACUUUGGGAAUUGAUUUUUAUAAAAAGCUAUUAGAAGUUUCCAGAAAGCUUGUGAUGUGGUCACAGACUCUGAAGCCACCGCUGGACCACCAUGAAGCUCUCCAAAUAACCUGACAUUUUGCAACUGUAAAACAAGAAUUGCAAUGUUGAACCUUCAAAUGAGUCAAGCAUGAAAUGCGAGAAAACAGAAUUUGGCACCAGAGACAGAACUGGAGUGUUUCAGCAAAGGCAAGACUUGAACCUACUUGGAGCUGUCUGAAGCCAGAAUAAAAGAAUCUAAAUUUCCA
Long non-coding RNA from Haemorhous mexicanus (house finch), 376 nucleotides. RefSeq lists it as uncharacterized. Lineage: Eukaryota; Metazoa; Chordata; Aves; Passeriformes; Fringillidae. The record is from RefSeq and is a predicted model, not a curated record. The transcript has 2 exons.